Molecule: long non-coding RNA, 3009 nt
Organism: Dendroctonus ponderosae (mountain pine beetle)
Lineage: Eukaryota; Metazoa; Arthropoda; Insecta; Coleoptera; Curculionidae
Exons: 2
Source: RefSeq, a predicted model, not a curated record
CUCAUUUGGUUUCGGCUUACAUGACCAUUAUUAUGUCUAAAAGAAUUAAACCUUUACUGUGAAAAUUAUAUCACAUAGUGAUGGUAAUAUGCAGACUUCAAGUUAUAGCUACAACGCCUUCCAAAUCUUAAAUUAAAACGAAAUUGCAUUUUUAAUUUAAAAAAAUAGUUGCCAGAAUUCCAAACCUAUCACGUUUUAAAGUUAUAAUGUUUAUGCAAACAUGUAUGGACAAAUUAAUUUGAACACAUUCAUUGGCAUUAAUAAAAAUAGAAACUUGCACAUCAAUGUUAGUUUCUUGAGAAUAAUGUCAUUUUCAUCACCAAAUACAGACGAUAUUUUGUAAAAUAUUCAUAUUAAUAAUAUUUUAUAAUGUCUGGUGCAUAAGUGUUGCAGUGGUUCUUAGCUCCCAAAAAAAGCAAAAAUUAUGUAAUCAAAAUAAAUUCAGCGACAGGGGCGGAUCCAGCUUUCGAGACGCGGGGCGGGGGGAUGGGUUAAGUAGUAGAAGUUCAGUCUUUUGUUGUCUAUGAAAUUAGAAAAAUAUUUAUUUAUUUAUAUUGUAAGUCGACAUGAAACCAGCACAAGGGGGGAUUAUGACCCCUCUUGAUCCGCCUUUGUUCAACAAGUCAAUAUAAUACUUAGUUUUCGACAUUUGCCUUGUAAUUAAUGAUAAAAAAACUGGAAGCAGAGGGCAAACCAUGCAGGUACAGUCGACCUCAACUUUACGCUUCCGCAGAAUUUUAUUCUCGGCUCUAUGCGCUCCUUCGAAUAACCGCCCCGCGCCUGACAUUCCGUUUCUCACUUUUCGUGAGAGAACAAACCCGUUCGUUAGGGGUUUAGGUAAUUACUUUUGACCCAUGUUUUUUUUUUUGAUUUUACCAUAUUUUAUUUUAAGUUUACCGAUGUUGAUAGUGAUGAUAUUUCAUUAAAAAAUAUGUAAGUUGUUAUUUUUGAGUGAGCACGUUUAAAACAGGUUUAGGUACAUAAAAAUUAAUUACCCUUGAUUAGUUGAACCUUGACAGUUGAAGAUAAAAAGAUUAAAUUAUAAGUAAAAUUUUUGGAAACUUUCACAUUUUGUCGUGCCAAUUGUAGCCACAGUUUUAGACGUUUUACGUCGAAGGCACGUUUAUAAAUGUUUUUCUCCGGUGUAGGUACUAAUACUGGUACACCGGCAUCAUACAAUAUUUGUAAGCCAGAAAAAAUGUUCAAAGACCUUUUUGUUUGAAAUUUGCUUUACUAGAUACAGCUAGUAUUAUCGCUCAAUUAGAUCUUUGCUUAUUGCAUAAAUGCAUAGAGACCUAAUGAUAAUUUUGAAUUGGCUCUUCGAGCAAGGGCGGAUCCAGGGGAGCAGAUCAUGGGGGUCAUGACCUCCCGCCCCCCUUGUGCUGGGAUUACGAGUGUCGGCUAACGAUAAUUUUUCUAAUUUCAUAGACAACAAAAGACUCGAAAGCUGAAUACGCCCCUGUCUUCGAGGGCCGGAUUUUAAUUUUAUCAUCCGAGAAUCGGGCAUAUUUCGUGCCACUUCGAUUGUGGUACUUAUGUUUUGUACAUGCUGAUAAGCAAAUAAAUUAUUUAAGGAAAACAUUUUAACUUUACGGAAUGCGCGGAUUCACUCUGAAUAAGUUUUAUCCGUAGCAAGGCUCACUGGAUCCGAUCAAUGGUGGAUUUUCAUUUGUUUAGUUAUCCAAUGUGGCGGAGAGAAUUUCUUCAUAUUUUCCACUUGGUAGAAUCACUUAUUUUUCACUACAAUUUGGUACUUCACCCCUCGUACCACCAUAUAUAUGAUUCUUAUUUUGAAAUUUGCAAAUUUUUUUUCCGAAUUAAAAACGCGUUUUUAUUCGACAACUCUUAAACCUACUUAAAACAUGUCAGUAUUUUUUAACUGAUGGCAAUAAGCGUUCGAAAGCGAAUUCUCAGCUAAGCAGAACUAUUCUUACUUAUCAAAAUCUUUGAACAUUGGCUUCAGCAAAAUUCUUCGGUGGAUUAUCUUUUGCUUAACUUUAUACACGGCGUCUUCACACAGGCUUCUGUGCUGGGUAUUGACAGAUUGCCAGUCUUUACCUCCUAAUUUAGAAGCCUCGACUAAGUCGUCUUUUGGUUGGGGUAUCUCUACUUCCACAUUCGGAUUUUUCUCCAAUUCCUAAAGCAAAGCAAUAUUUUGUCAUGAUUACUAAAAACGUGAUAUUUCAUAACUAGAUACUUGGAUUGUGAAUAUGUGAUCUACAUCAUCCUCAAAUGUUUUCCAGCAAACUCUAGUAGAAUCACACGGAUCUCUGUAUUGAUUAAUCACAGCUUGAACGUCGGGCAAUGAAAGGAAAAAUCGCUGCUUUCCGUUCAAAGCUAAAGCGUCUAACCCCCGAUGGAACUGGUCCACAGAAAUUCUUCCAGAGUUAAGAACAUCAAAAUGCUAAAAUAAAUGUUAAUGCAAUAAGCUAUGAAAGUUUUGCAAAAUAGCUUGCAAAAAGUACCUUGAAAAAUGUAUUGACCCUCAACCUGUUUCUUGAGACAUGUUCCUGAAUCAUCGACAUGGUGGUUAAAAUAUGUUCUACUUUUUUGGGAUCCUCCAAAGCUGGAUGAAAUAUGUUUUGUUUUCCGAACAGCUUGGAAGCCAUUAUUUUUCCAAUUUCAGGUCGAGGCAAUUUUGGUAGUUCUGCAUUAAUAACUCUUCCUGGAAAAAUCGCCAUAAUAUCCUAAUGACCAAGAACAAGAUCGUUAUUAGCCAUGACAAUUAAUUAGAUAAAAUGCCCUUACGCCGCUUAGGUCCAAAAUACCAUUCCGGUCCAAAUACUGAACAACCUCAUCGAUAGCGUGCAAAAAUGCAAUAUAAUUCAAUGUGUAGCUGUCUUUAAGGUAUUUUUUUACUAACAGAUUAAAAUCAUCAGCCGAUAGCAGUAUUCCUAAGUACGCCAUAAUUCUAGCGAAGUGGGCUAUUGUAACUGUUCCAUUGUUCUUCGAAACCUAGAUAAAACUGUGUAAGAAUUUUUGAACAAAUAAAGAUGAAAAUGUAGAGAA